UAAAUUUUUAGUAUAUAUUUUCCACUGUAAUUACUGGGCCAAGUUCAUUAUAGAUAGAGAUAAUUGUAGCAAGAAGAAUGUCCAGUAAAGUAAGAUUUACAAACACAUCAUGAUCACCAAAACACAAUUUUGUCAUGAAUUUAUCUGUGUCCAUUGUUUAAUAUGCACAUAGACCAAGGUGAGCGACACAGGCUCUUGAGAGCCUCUAGUUUUUA
This 215-nucleotide long non-coding RNA is filed under the name Mytilus galloprovincialis (Mediterranean mussel). The record is from RNAcentral. Lineage: Eukaryota; Metazoa; Mollusca; Bivalvia; Mytilida; Mytilidae.